Molecule: transfer RNA, 76 nt
Filed under: Shewanella putrefaciens
Lineage: Bacteria; Pseudomonadati; Pseudomonadota; Gammaproteobacteria; Alteromonadales; Shewanellaceae
Description: tRNA-Glu
Source: RNAcentral
CAAUAUGAGCUAAUUUAUGUGAGCUAAUCCCCAUCAUUGACGUCCAUUUAGCCAGUUCAAUCCAAAAUGUUAGCCA